This 271-nucleotide ribosomal RNA is filed under the name uncultured bacterium. RNAcentral describes it as "partial 16S ribosomal RNA". It matches the Rfam family "Bacterial small subunit ribosomal RNA", at positions 524 to 794 of the family's 1533-position model. The record is from RNAcentral.
UACAGAGGUGUCAAACGUUGUCCGGAAUUACUGGGCGUAAAGGGCGCGUAGGCGGCCUUAUAAGUCAGAUGUGAAAGCUCCGGGCUCAACCCGGGAAUUGCAUCUGAUACUGUAAGGCUUGAGUUCGGUAGAGGAGGGCGGAAUUCCAGGUGUAGCGGUGAAAUGCGUAGAUAUCUGGAGGAACACCCGUGGCGAAGGCGGCUCUCUGGUCCGAAACUGACGCUGAGGUGCGAAAGCUAGGGUAGCAAACAGGAUUAGAAACCCCUGUAGU